Molecule: long non-coding RNA, 433 nt
Organism: Betta splendens (Siamese fighting fish)
Lineage: Eukaryota; Metazoa; Chordata; Actinopteri; Anabantiformes; Osphronemidae
Exons: 5
Source: RefSeq, a predicted model, not a curated record
GCAGGCAUUAUACAGGACACCACAGCACGUGGUGCGGUGAAGGCCCCGUUUAUAUAAUCCCCGAGCGCACUAUCCUUCAGCCUCUUUGAACGCGAGUUUUGAGUACGCUGUUUUGUAUGACUCACAGAAUGUUGCAGCUAUUGGUGCCAAACUGGACCACAGCUCAGUUAGAGUGCUGCAAUGAGCUGAUGGGUGUCCAUCUCCGUCUAGGAGAUUGCUCCUUCUUUUAGCUUGCUCAUGCUGAUGGAAAGCAACAGUGUAUCACUUCAAACUACUUAUCUGCACCGACACUUGGGAUUGUUACAAGUGUCAAAACUCUUAAUACACUCGAACUGGAUCUGGAGUUGUUUUGUAAUGGGUUAUUUUUCUAUAAUAAAGCUGAGUGUGCGAAAUCAAGGAUAUUAAAGUGUUAAUAAAGGCUCUCUUGAGUGUU